AGAAUGACUCUCGGCAACGGAUAUCUCGGCUCUUGCAUCGAUGAAGAACGUAGCGAAAUGCGAUACUUGGUGUGAAUUGCAGAAUCCCGUGAACCAUCGAGUCUUUGAACGCAAGUUGCGCCUGAGGCCACUAGGUCGAGGGCACGUYUGCCUGGGCGUCACAC
Molecule: ribosomal RNA, 164 nt
Filed under: Caltha leptosepala
Lineage: Eukaryota; Viridiplantae; Streptophyta; Magnoliopsida; Ranunculales; Ranunculaceae
Description: 5.8S ribosomal RNA
Rfam family: 5.8S ribosomal RNA
About the family: 5.8S ribosomal RNA (5.8S rRNA) is a component of the large subunit of the eukaryotic ribosome.
Source: RNAcentral